RNAcentral lists this ribosomal RNA (253 nucleotides) under uncultured bacterium. RNAcentral's name for it is "partial 16S ribosomal RNA". It matches the Rfam family "Bacterial small subunit ribosomal RNA", at positions 524 to 776 of the family's 1533-position model. The record is from RNAcentral. RNAcentral also lists the same sequence under 1 other name.
UACGUAGGGGGCAAGCGUUGUCCGGAUUUAUUGGGCGUAAAGAGCGUGUAGGCGGCCAGACAAGUCUGCUGUGAAAACUCGAGGCUCAACCUCGAGCUGUCGGUGGAAACUGUUUGGCUAGAGUCCGGAAGAGGAGAGUGGAAUUCCUGGUGUAGCGGUGAAAUGCGCAGAUAUCAGGAAGAACACCUAUGGCGAAGGCAGCUCUCUGGGACGGUACUGACGCUGAGACGCGAAAGCGUGGGGAGCGAACAGG